This 98-nucleotide transfer RNA is filed under the name Streptomyces galilaeus. Its description in RNAcentral is "tRNA-Ser". The record is from RNAcentral. Lineage: Bacteria; Bacillati; Actinomycetota; Actinomycetes; Kitasatosporales; Streptomycetaceae.
GGGGAGCGUGUAUCCGGCGCCGAUGCCCCCGGAUCCGGAGUAGCCGGGCCCGUGCAGGGUGCCGUGCACGGUGGCCGGUUCGAAGCCCACGUUCUCCA